RNAcentral lists this ribosomal RNA (484 nucleotides) under uncultured bacterium. RNAcentral describes it as "partial 16S ribosomal RNA". It matches the Rfam family "Bacterial small subunit ribosomal RNA", at positions 28 to 507 of the family's 1533-position model. The record is from RNAcentral.
AUUGAACGCUGGCGGCAUGCUUUACACAUGCAAGUCGAACGGCAGCGCGGGCUUCGGCCUGGCGGCGAGUGGCGAACGGGUGAGUAAUGCAUCGGAACGUGCCCAGUAGUGGGGGAUAGCCCGGCGAAAGCCGGAUUAAUACCGCAUACGACCUGAGGGUGAAAGCGGGGGACCGAAAGGCCUCGCGCUAUUGGAGCGGCCGAUGUCGGAUUAGCUAGUUGGUGGGGUAAAGGCUUACCAAGGCGACGAUCCGUAGCUGGUCUGAGAGGACGACCAGCCACACUGGGACUGAGACACGGCCCAGACUCCUACGGGAGGCAGCAGUGGGGAAUUGUGGACAAUGGGGGCAACCCUGAUCCAGCCAUGCCGCGUGCGGGAAGAAGGCCUUCGGGUUGUAAACCGCUUUUGUUCGGGAAGAAAUCCUCUGGGCUAAUACCCCGGGGGGAUGACGGUACCGGAAGAAUAAGCACCGGCUAACUACGUG